Molecule: non-coding RNA, 401 nt
Organism: Pelobates cultripes (western spadefoot toad)
Lineage: Eukaryota; Metazoa; Chordata; Amphibia; Anura; Pelobatidae
Source: the annotation of a GenBank genome assembly
CCUAUAUCUUAUGGGAAGCCAAUGCAGGGACUGACAUAGGAGGGAGGUGCUGGUGGACAGGAAGAGGAGCCUCUCCGCCGCAUUCAUUAUAGACUGCAGUGGGGCAAGUUGGAAACAUGUAAGACCACUGAGAAGUGGAUUGCAGUAGUCCAGGCGCGAGAGAGGACAGUGGCAUGGGACAGAACCGUAGCAGCAUCUGGCGUUCAGUAGGGGCGGAUGCGCACAAUGUUUUUAAUAUGGAAGUGGCAGGAUUUGGCGAUCGACUGGACAUGAGGAGUGAAGGAGAGGUCGGAAUCAAAGAGAACACCUGGGCAGCGAGCCUGCGUGGUGGAGCUGAUGGUAGCACCAUUAACGUGAAGGGAAACAGAAACUGGGGUAGCAACACUUGAGGGAGGAAAGAC